UGGGGAAUCUUCCGCAAUGGACGAAAGUCUGACGGAGCAACGCCGCGUGAGUGAAGAAGGCCCUCGGGUCGUAAAGCUCUGUCUUCAGGGACGAAUGUGCAGAUUGUGAAUAAUGGUUUGCAAUGACGGUACCUGAGGAGGAAGCCACGGCUAACUACGUGCCAGCAGCCGCGGUAAUACGUAGGUGGCAAGCGUUGUCCGGAUUUAUUGGGCGUAAAGCGCGCGCAGGCGGGAUGAUAAGUCUGUCUUAAAAGUUCGGGGCUCAACCCCGUGAUGGGAUGGAAACUAUCAUUCUUGAGUAUCGGAGAGGAAAGUGGAAUUCCUAGUGUAGCGGUGAAAUGCGUAGAUAUUAGGAGGAACACCAGUGGCGAAGGCGACUUUCUGGACGAUGUCUGACGCUGAGGCGCGAAAGCCAGGGUAGUGAACGGG
RNAcentral lists this ribosomal RNA (429 nucleotides) under uncultured bacterium. RNAcentral's name for it is "bacterial SSU rRNA". It matches the Rfam family "Bacterial small subunit ribosomal RNA", at positions 355 to 776 of the family's 1533-position model. The record is from RNAcentral.